RNAcentral lists this long non-coding RNA (1329 nucleotides) under Canis lupus familiaris (dog). RNAcentral's name for it is "lncRNA (ENSCAFG00000054634.1)". Lineage: Eukaryota; Metazoa; Chordata; Mammalia; Carnivora; Canidae. The record is from RNAcentral.
UUUUUUUUUUUUUUUCUUUUCUUUCUUUUUUUUUUUUUUUUCAAAGCAUACCCAGAGAACAGGACAAGGAAAUUAGCCAAGGCUUACUGCUUCAGAAUAAACCUCGUGGGACAGAUUUAUUUGGGCAAGGUUGGCAAUCCAUGGGUUUCCCAUCUGUGUGUCCUAGGAAUGGUGGAGUAAACAUUGGCUCCCUGGGUUUUCUCUGGUGUGUCUAAUUUAUAGAUUUCCAGCUUGAAAAAGGGUUGAUCAUGGAAAAAGAUUCUCUGCUUUAAAAAAAAAACAGACCUUAAAUAUAAGGAUUCCAUAGUAAUAUUUAUCGAGCAGUUAUGAUGUAUUAGACACUGUGUUAUAUUAUUUAAUCUAAUCCUCCUAACAGGUUUAUGGAUUAGUAACUAUUUUUAUCCCAAUUUCACAAAGAAGGAAGCUGAGGUUUAAGCUGCUUGUAUCACUUCUCCCACUUUCUCACAGCUGGUGGAAACAGAAUUCCAACCCACACAGAUGAACCCCAGGGACCAUGUUCUUAACCACCACAUCCUGGCUGUCUUUAAUGUUAAUCCUUGUUAAUUCUCUGUUCCUUUCUCUCUCCAAGCUUCAUUAUAGGAAUUACCUCUUUGAUGCCGAAUUUUCAUUCUAUUUCCUGGGGACUGAUCUCACUUGGUGACCCUGGCACAAAGACAGCACCUGUUUGACUUAGUCAACUUUGAUUCUACAAUGUACUACCUUAAACAAGCAACUCCUAUAUAACUGUGGCCUGCCCUUUUGGGCAGGGGAGGACAAUUCUAGUGAAUUGAUUUAGUAUUCUGGUCUUCAGUAAGCAUAUUAUCAGUUAUUGAGUAUCCAUAACAAAAGAUACUUGGUAAUGGCAAAUGAUAAGGCCUAUUUAACUCCAGCUGGCUGGAGAAUUGUAACAGAAUGUGGCAGAGACUAUUUCCCAAUAGCAAUUCUCCCCUUCUUCUCUGGUAACAUAAUGUCUAAUUUUUAAUGAUAUAACUGGUUCCCCAAAUGAAGACUGCAUUUCUGAUACUUCCUUUGAGCUACAUACAGUCAUAUGAUUACCCUCUAGCCAAGGGGAUGUGAGAAGAAGCAACACAGUUUGUGGGUUAUGCUGAUAAAGCAAGAAUUAUGUUCUCCUCUUCCCCUUUUUCUCCUUCUGGAUGACUAGAAUGUGAAAGUGGGAGUGUGCUAUCUCAGACUGUUCAGAAAGAGCAGCAAUGCCAUAGGAAAUUCAGAGCAACGGGUAGAAGUUGCUGAGUCUUGAUGUGGUGUGUGUACUGCCUAUCCUCAGACUGUUACAUGAGAAAGAAGCAGUGUACAAUGCUAACUUAUUUG